This 460-nucleotide ribosomal RNA is filed under the name uncultured bacterium. Its description in RNAcentral is "partial 16S ribosomal RNA". It matches the Rfam family "Bacterial small subunit ribosomal RNA", at positions 338 to 795 of the family's 1533-position model. The record is from RNAcentral.
CCUACGGGUGGCAGCAGUGAGGAAUAUUGGUCAAUGGGCGAGAGCCUGAACCAGCCAAGUAGCGUGAAGGAUGACUGCCCUACGGGUUGUAAACUUCUUUUAUAAGGGAAUAAAACGUUCCACGUGUGGGUUUUUGUAUGUACCUUAUGAAUAAGGAUCGGCUAACUCCGUGCCAGCAUCCGCGGUAAUACGGAGGAUCCGAGCGUUAUCCGGAUUUAUUGGGUUUAAAGGGAGCGUAGGUGGGUUGUUAAGUCAGUUGUGAAAGUUUGCGGCUCAACCGUAAAAUUGCAGUUGAUACUGGCAGUCUUGAGUACAGUUGAGGUAGGCGGAAUUCGUGGUGUAGCGGUGAAAUGCUUAGAUAGCACGAAGAACUCCGAUUGCGAAGGCAGUUCACUGGACUGCCACUGACACUGAUGCUCGAAAGUGUGGGUAUCAAACAGGAUUAGAUACCCGUGUAGUC